GAUUUCAGUCAAGUAGCUGAUAAACCUCAUGCUGUUUGCAUACCAUUCCCAGCUCAGGGUCACAUAACCCCAAUGCUUAAGCUAGCAAAACUCUACAUUUUAAUGGCUUCCACAUAACCUUUAUUAAUUUUGGAUGCUCUUACAACAAUGUUCCUUCCUACUUAUGCAAUCGAUCCUCUCCACUUGAUAGCUAAUAAUCAGAUAGCAGAUGAUAGACUGAACAAUAUUGGUUCAAAUCUAUGGAAAGAACAAUCAGACUUCACUGAAUGGCUUGAUUCAAAAGAAUCUGGUUUUGUGGUGUAUAUAAAUUUUGGAAGCAUCGCUGUACUAACACCACAGAAAAUGCUAGAAUUUGCUUGGGUUCAGGCUAACAGCGAAAAAGCUCUCUUAUGUAUAAUAAGGUCUGACACUGAUGGUGGUGUGUCGAGCAUUUUUCCACCUGAAUUCCUUGCAGAAACAAAGGAUAGAGGCAAGCUAGCAAGUUGGUGUCCACAGGAUCAGAUUUUAAAGCACCCAGCAAUAGGAGUAUUUGACAAUUUGACACUUGAAAGAGUUUGUUGUAGAGUUUCAUUUAUUUGUUUGCCAUUUUUCUCGUAGCAGCAAACCAACUGUUGGUUUGCUUGCAACAAAUGGGGUAUCGGAAUGGUGAUGUAAAGAGAGAUCAAGUUGGGAAGCUUGUUAGAGAGUUAAUGGAGGGAGAAAGGGGCAACGAAAUGAAAAAGAAGGCGAUGGACUGGAAGACGAAGGCAUAUGAAGCUGCCAGCCCCAGAACUUCGAAAAUUUGCUAGCAGACAUUCUCUUGGUGCAAAAAACAGAAAUACAUUUGAGAAAGAUUAAAACCUCAGCCCAGUUAGAAGCUGCAUUUUCAAUUUUAUCCGGUGCUGCUUCAAAGAGUUUUGAGUUGUUGGGAUCUGAAGGAGUGUUCUAUGCACAUUAAAACCCUAGAGGCUUCGACAGGUGGUCUAGAUUCAGGAGAGGAAAAGAUGUGUGUUCUUUCUAGCUUCUCCUGUUUGGUCCACUCUUCAUUUCUGAUUUCAUAGGUGCGGCUUCUUGGAUUUUAUCUAGUCGUCCUUCAUUUUUUUCUCUUUUUUAAGGGUGUUGCUUCUUGGAUUUUAUCCUCUACUUUUCUCGAAUAGUGUGAGUGGCUUCUGCUUUUAUUUGGGAAAAAAAUUGUUCAAGUGAUAUUAUACUGUUCCUAAAUCUUGGUUGCCUUCAAUGUAUUUGUUGUAUUGCCUAAGUAAAGUCUUAUUUUACUUAUUACUUCAUGGGAACAACAUAUUCAUGGAACAAAAAAACAACAACUAAUCUUCAAUCCAACAAUACCGAAUAAAAAGAUAUGUGUCCGAAACAUGCUGUCAAAAAUCCAACUUGAUUCAACGGUGAAUCGGCUGCCGACCAAAGCUUGAACCGACACUGCUCAAGCUGCCUCUUCUUUCUUUUUGUCACGGGUUCUGUGUCUUUUCUUUGUAUCUGUCCUUCUAUUUGUUUAUUUAUUCAGCGGGUCCUAAUCCCAGCUAACCUUUUCAUUUGUUUCCUUCUAUGGUGGUCCCUUUUUCACAUGGGGCGGGACAUCCCAGCAACAAGUAUCUUUGCAAGUGCGAAAGUAAGUGUAACCAAUAACCCUCAGCAUAUUUUAGCACUCUCACUCGAGGUGACUGAUGCUCAUCAGAAUUAUUUGGUUAUUGGUUACAGAUGAAGAUACAAAAAUUAAGGGAAUAUUAUGGAAAGAAUUAUUUUUUAAGAUUUUUGAACAUCAUUCAUAAUAUGUUUUCUGAUAUUCACUUGCAGACUGGAAUGACUUUUUCUUUAAUGAAUUUCAUCGGAGAAUAUAAAUCUUCUCUGUAGUUAA
Long non-coding RNA from Populus nigra (black poplar), 1849 nucleotides. RefSeq lists it as uncharacterized. The record is from RefSeq and is a predicted model, not a curated record. Lineage: Eukaryota; Viridiplantae; Streptophyta; Magnoliopsida; Malpighiales; Salicaceae. The transcript has 2 exons.